AUCUUAUCAAGAGAGGUGGAGGGACUGAGCCCUAUGAAACCCGACAACCGGCCUGAUGGCACGGUGCCAAUUCCUGCAGGAGAAUUAUUCCUGAGAGAUGAGUA
This 104-nucleotide non-coding RNA is filed under the name Clostridiales bacterium. RNAcentral's name for it is "SAM-I sequence". It matches the Rfam family "SAM riboswitch aptamer (S box leader)". Rfam says of the family: The SAM riboswitch is found upstream of a number of genes which code for proteins involved in methionine or cysteine biosynthesis in Gram-positive bacteria. The SAM riboswitch acts at the level of transcription termination control. The predicted structure consists of a complex stem-loop region followed by a single stem loop terminator region. Lineage: Bacteria; Bacillati; Bacillota; Clostridia; Eubacteriales. The record is from RNAcentral.